UACGAAGGGGGCUAGCGUUGCUCGGAAUUACUGGGCGUAAAGCGCACGCAGGCGGUCAGAUCAGUCUGGAGUGACAGUCGUCGGCUUAACCGACGAAGUGUUCUGGAAACUGUCUGACUUGAGGGCUUCAGAGGGACACGGAAUUCCAGGUGCAGCGGUGAAAUGCGUAGAUAUCUGGAGGAACACCGGUGGCGAAGGCGGCGUCCUGGACCAACACUGACACUGAUGAGCGAAAGCCAGGGGAGCAAACGGG
Molecule: ribosomal RNA, 253 nt
Filed under: uncultured bacterium
Lineage: Bacteria
Description: partial 16S ribosomal RNA
Rfam family: Bacterial small subunit ribosomal RNA
Source: RNAcentral